Molecule: ribosomal RNA, 460 nt
Filed under: uncultured bacterium
Lineage: Bacteria
Description: partial 16S ribosomal RNA
Rfam family: Bacterial small subunit ribosomal RNA
Source: RNAcentral
CCUACGGGGGGCAGCAGUGAGGAAUAUUGGUCAAUGGACGAGAGCCUGAACCAGCCAAGUAGCGUGAAGGAUGACUGCCCUAUGGGUUGUAAACUUCUUUUAUAUGGGAAUAAAGUGUUCCACGUGUGGGAUUUUGUAUGUACCAUAUGAAUAAGGAUCGGCUAACUCCGUGCCAGCAGCCGCGGUAAUACGGAGGAUCCGAGCGUUAUCCGGAUUUAUUGGGUUUAAAGGGAGCGUAGGUGGAUUGUUAAGUCAGUUGUGAAAGUUUGCGGCUCAAACGUAAAAUUGCAGUUGAUACUGGCAGUCUUGAGUACAGUAGAGGUAGGCGGAAUUCGUGGUGUAGCGGUGAAAUGCUUAGAUAUCACGAAGAACUCCGAUUGCGAAGGCAGCUCACUGGACUGCAACUGACACUGAGGCUCGAAAGUGUGGGUAUCAAACAGGAUUAGAUACCCCAGUAGUC